UGGUAUCAAUAAGACUAAAUGAAAAGAACAUUUAUAAUAGAUGAUUUAUUAACAUACAUACAACAAGGGAAGCUACAUACGAAGCAAUUUGUUUUGAUAAAUAAAUGACCCAUGCCACCCUAUGCUAUGGACCUAUGGUUACAGAACGACGAUAAUACAAUUAACAAAGGUUACAAAUGUGAAAAAAUAAUGAGGCGGCGUUCUUUUUUAGAUUUAGUUUUUUGCAGAGUAUUGUGUGACUUCACACAAAGGAAAAGUCGCAUCCUUACAAACAGACCCCGUACGUAGUCUAAAGGAAAGUUUUUGCAGGGAUGUGAGAAUGGAAUUUUGCUUAAUUCGGUAAGUAUUUGAAAACCAACCCGGGCCCCAGUGGAAUAACGUUCAAAAAGGCCGUUGGAGAACUGGUGUUCCAACUGGGCAAUGUAAUACACAAAAUUAGUUGCAGGCAUUGUUAGAUUACCAAAAUCUGAGCUUUCAUCUAAAUUUUUGUAGUGACAGAAUAAGGUAUCUUCGGAAAUAGUUUGGCAGGCCUGUGCAUAUUGUUCACAACUAGUGCAUGAAUGGCGCUGCAAGCAUUUUUGCAUUAAGUAUCCGGAAAUGUAUCUUAAAAUAUUUUGCUCCGGCAACUCCAAGGAACGGUAAUCUGUGGAAUCUACUUAUUUAAGGGGGCCAGAAUCUAGAGCAGUCAAAACAGUUGCUAAAUCUGGCAUGCAAUUGCCGGUUGUGGGUGGUAAUAAGAAUUUUGUGCAGAACAAUUUUCUGAAUGCCCAAACGAACUGUAUUGGUGUGGGGUUUAUACAAUUGCCACUUUGUUUUCGCACCGUUCCGAAAAAAUUUUCUAGAAAAUCUUGAUUUAAGCGCCUUGUGGGUAAGGGUUGGCUUAGAGAUCCGUGAAGCUGCAUCACUCCUUUAAUUGUUACCUGCCAACAUGCCAUCGAUUUAAUACGACGAGUUACGUCCGCGUUUCUGUCAUCAACGACAGCAGUUGUUUUAAAAAAGUGCAGCAUUUUUUCAAGGUGGUUUUUUUGCAAUUCUGAUCCUACAAAAGCAGAUUUAAAGGACUCUACAUUUGUUACCAAGCCAACGCUGCAGUUGAUAGCAGUCCUAGAGACAUCUCGGUUUCCAUACCAGAUGCCACGGUGUGGCUAAACAACUGGGUGGCAAAUUUAACCUUCAUCUUGUCAAACUGGCCAGGACUUAUGUGAACCGACUGCAGUUUAGGAGCAAAUUUGAAAGGCUUUGAUGAGAUGGCACACAUCAAAAAUGUAAAAAAUGCGAUCUGUACAUAUACCCUUACAAUAAAAAUAGGGUGUUUCGGGCGUCACGUUUAAGCUCGCAGCGACCUGCUGAAAAUUGGUGCCCAAGUCUGAAAUGACCGCUUUCACUUGGAGGCCGAUAGCGUACAACUUGUUGAUAACAGCAAACAGUAAUGUUUGCAAUUCCCUAGCAUUACACUGUGUAUUAACAAAUACAUAAGCUAGUGCCUGCUUCCAAUUAUCAAAAAUACCGCGCGCCAUUAUUGUUAGAACAUUAUUGGCAGGCUUGUAUUCUUUGCCAUCUACUUGGUGAAAGCCCACGAUUUGAUCUUUGCUUACAUCAUAAUACAAAUUUGCUUUUAAGCUCAUCUCGUCCAUACAAAUAACACACUGCCGGGCUUCUGCAUUUAAAUUCAAGACCUUCAGCCGCAACAUUUCAAACACGGUCUCAUCUAUUCCCGGUUCUAUCCGUAUUUUAGAAGUAAAUCGUUGCAACGUUCUGAUGCUUGGUAGCAUAAAAGUGGUUUCCACCUCGUUCUGCCUCUCCAGCAUCUCUACCUCCGCACCUACGGGCUCUGUUGUCUGCGACGCCUGCCGCAGUUUUCGUCUGAGGGCUUGCUUCCGUGGAGAAUUACUCGAUAACGCUGUCCCAGUUUGUGUUGCGACACUUUUUCCGGUCGGUGAUGCAAAUUGCUGCUCAUGCACAGAUGUGGAAGGCCCGGCCUCUUCUUGUGGCGGCGGGGUGGCAGCUACUUCUUCCCUGCUGGUUCCCGGAAGCACACAGGAACUUUGCUCUUGAUGUGACAGAUAUCAUAAUACACCAGUAUUUGGAUCAUUUGUACCUGACUCUUUCUGGUGAGGGAUUGCGUCUCCACGAAGGGCCUUUUUUUGAGGAUGUGUGAACAUGUUGUCUGCAAAAUGAUCUGCACAUAGACGGAAAUUGCCGUGGUCCUUCAUUUCACGGGUUAACAAGUCUACUCGCCCACUUGCAGUGGCCCAUAUUUUGAACCUGCAUAAAAAUUAUGCGUAUAAAUCGUAAUAUGUGGGGCAUUCCACGCCAAAUCGGACGGUUUGAGAAAUUUUUUGUUUUGAUUUCCUCAAUUUUGUGAUAUGUUUUAGUACCCCUUAAGGUAGCAUUUUUGGUAAAUUUUGAGAUUUUUUUGAUUACCCGUUCAAAAGAUAUCGACUUUCUAAAAAAAUUGCUGUUUUUUUAGAUUUUUGGGCAUAAUUUCUGCAAAAAUGGUUCAAAUUUAACCAUUUUUUUUUAACAUUUGGGUUUUUAAAUGGCCUUUAUAGAAAAACAUUUAAAAAAAACUUUUUCAAGAUUGUUUCAUAAUGAUUUUUUUAUGUUAGAUUUUAAUUCGAGUUUUAAAAUUUUUUUAUAUCCUUCGCUUUUUUCAAAAUUUUUUAUUUUAAACUUCUAUUUAUAUCUCAAUUUUUAAUCCCGGUUCGGUAAUGGGAUCUCAAAAUUAGAUUUUUUUUAAUUAUUAAAAAUAAAAAAAAUAUUUUUUCGUAAAUUAUUUUACGUAUUUUUGAUUUUUGAAAUUGUACACGCAUUUUUUAAGUAUUAUAAAUAAAUUUUAAUACUGUUUCAUUAUUAUUAUUAAGUGUUUAAAGUCAAUAAAUACCAAUUAACUUUAUUGGUAAAUACAAUUACCACUGUCAUUUUCAUUUAAGGGGUACUAACACAUCACAAAAUUGAGGAAAUAAAAAAAAAAUAUUCUCAAACCGUCCGAUUUGGCGUGGAAUGCCCCAUGUACAUUCAAAACGAUUUUAUAUUAAUGAGACCGCACUGUAAUUAAUUGUGUAAAUCUUGUCGGUACAUUUUUUAUGUAUCUAUUUUUAGAGUAACUUACCUUUUUGCUUCUUUUGGGAAACGAAAGAAGCUUUUAUUUCCAUCCGCAGUAGAAUUUGUGCACCCCGCAGCACUACACAGGCGUCUUUUAGGCAUUCUAAUUGUCUUUUUUCAAUUGCACUAUCACUAAUAUGUAUACUACACUAAAGGCUACGUAACUAAAUCUAAGAAUAAUAUUAAUGCACUAUAUACUAUAUACAAAAAAAGUCAAAAAGUUCCAAACUAAAAAAAGCCACAAAAUUCGCAAAUCUACAAAAUCGUACUGUACUCGCACUGAUCUGCUUUGCGAAUGCUUAUUACUUUCUGCGUAGUGCAGAUUCUGCAUUUUUUAAGUGUUAAUGUAAACAUAACUUUGCACUUCAUAAGUGCCCGCACGUGUGUUCUAAUAUUUACGGAAACUUUCUUUUUAUAAUUAUUACUUUUGGGCUUAGUUGUAAAUUUUUUAAAUGUAAUAAUUUACGUUUCAGCUAUUACCAAAUAUAUUUUUACAUACC
Long non-coding RNA from Tribolium castaneum (red flour beetle), 3605 nucleotides. RefSeq lists it as uncharacterized. The record is from RefSeq and is a predicted model, not a curated record. The transcript is spliced from 7 exons. NCBI's taxonomy places the organism in Eukaryota, Metazoa, Arthropoda, Insecta, Coleoptera, Tenebrionidae.